Molecule: long non-coding RNA, 229 nt
Filed under: Mytilus galloprovincialis (Mediterranean mussel)
Lineage: Eukaryota; Metazoa; Mollusca; Bivalvia; Mytilida; Mytilidae
Source: RNAcentral
UGAUAUGUAAACCAUACACUGAUAUGUCAAUCAAACAUGAUGUCUUGAUAUUUAGAAGAUAAAUUGAACUCUUUUAAUGAUCGUAAAUAAAUAACAUAAUGUCAUGUAUAGCAAAGAAAUGAUUUGAUGCAAAUCUAUUUAUGACAAAAUAAUAUUAAACAUUUCAGAUUUUGUUUCUUUUCAAGCUUAAAUUACAAUCUUUUAACCACUAAAUUACAACCUUUUAACC